AUCACGGAUUCAUUUAUUUUAUUAGCCACCAUUUGGUUCGGGAUUAAGUAAAAACUUGUUAUUUCAGGGAUAGAGUUAAGUUCAAGAUUAAAAUGGGGUUAUAGUAAUUUUAUAUUUGGUUGAGAAUUGGGUUUAGUUCAGAUAUAGAUAAAAUAAUGUUUGGUUGAAAUAGGUGGAAUAAGAAGAAUAGUGAGUAAAAUAAUAUUUUAUUUGGUUAGAGUAGUAGGGUCAGGUGGGAUUAGCUAAAAGGGUUAGCUAACCCCACCCCCGAAUUGAGUGUUUGAGAAUAACUUCAGAGUUAAGAGAGUAUUCCACCCCUGACCUCGAACCAAAUGGGUGCUUU
Molecule: long non-coding RNA, 343 nt
Filed under: Ananas comosus (pineapple)
Lineage: Eukaryota; Viridiplantae; Streptophyta; Magnoliopsida; Poales; Bromeliaceae
Description: long non-coding RNA (ACOM_LNC012893)
Source: RNAcentral